AUUGAACGCUGGCGGCAGGCCUAACACAUGCAAGUCGAGCGGAGCGGCGGACGGGUGAGUAAUGCCUAGGAAUCUGCCUGGUAGUGGGGGAUAACGUCCGGAAACGGGCGCUAAUACCGCAUACUAUCAGAUGAGACUAGGUCGGAUUAGCUUGGUGGUGGGGUAAAGGCCUACCAAGGCGACGAUCCGUAACUGGUCUGAGGGGAGGAUCAGUCACACUGGAACUGGGACACGUUCCAAACUUCUACGUGAGUCAGCGGUGGGGAGUAUUGGACAAGGGGCGAAAGCCUGAUCCAGCCAUGCCGCGUGUGUGAAGAAGGUCUUCGGAUUGUAAGCACUUUAAGUUGGGAGGCGUUACCAACAGAAUAAGCACCGGCUAACUUCGUGCCAGCAGCCGCGGUAAUUC
RNAcentral lists this ribosomal RNA (406 nucleotides) under uncultured bacterium. RNAcentral's name for it is "partial 16S ribosomal RNA". It matches the Rfam family "Bacterial small subunit ribosomal RNA", at positions 30 to 526 of the family's 1533-position model. The record is from RNAcentral.